RNAcentral lists this ribosomal RNA (444 nucleotides) under Paraburkholderia nemoris. RNAcentral's name for it is "bacterial SSU rRNA". It matches the Rfam family "Bacterial small subunit ribosomal RNA", at positions 1 to 451 of the family's 1533-position model. Lineage: Bacteria; Pseudomonadati; Pseudomonadota; Betaproteobacteria; Burkholderiales; Burkholderiaceae. The record is from RNAcentral.
UGAAGAGUUUGAUCCUGGCUCAGAUUGAACGCUGGCGGCAUGCCUUACACAUGCAAGUCGAACGGCAGCACGGGGGCAACCCUGGUGGCGAGUGGCGAACGGGUGAGUAAUACAUCGGAACGUGUCCUGUAGUGGGGGAUAGCCCGGCGAAAGCCGGAUUAAUACCGCAUACGCUCUACGGAGGAAAGGGGGGGAUCUUAGGACCUCCCGCUACAGGGGCGGCCGAUGGCAGAUUAGCUAGUUGGUGGGGUAAAGGCCUACCAAGGCGACGAUCUGUAGCUGGUCUGAGAGGACGACCAGCCACACUGGGACUGAGACACGGCCCAGACUCCUACGGGAGGCAGCAGUGGGGAAUUUUGGACAAUGGGCGAAAGCCUGAUCCAGCAAUGCCGCGUGUGUGAAGAAGGCCUUCGGGUUGUAAAGCACUUUUGUCCGGAAAGAAAA